Spinacia oleracea (spinach) is the source of this 809-nucleotide long non-coding RNA. RefSeq lists it as uncharacterized. The record is from RefSeq and is a predicted model, not a curated record. Lineage: Eukaryota; Viridiplantae; Streptophyta; Magnoliopsida; Caryophyllales; Amaranthaceae. The transcript has 3 exons.
UUGUGUUAAUUGAUACAUUUUUUCCGAUUUUGAUUGUUAGGGUUUUAUUUUUUUCCGAUUUUUUUUCCGAUUUUGAAUGUCAACCCUAAAGUGGAUAAUAUUUGGUACCCUAUGAAUUACUAUAUCACUUUGAUGAUUUUCUAUUUAGUAUAUGCUUUUACUAUGGUUCUGCUUUAUUUGUGUUUUGUUUAUGUAUCUGUUUCUAUUCUUACUGGCACGAUAUAUAGCUGGUUAGUUUCCUGUUAGUGUGUAAGAAUUAAUUGAGUUAUUAGACCGUCUUGAGUUCGAACUGUUUGGAUAGGAACUGAGACACCGGCCAAUAGUGUGCUCUAAGUAGUGAAAUAUCUGUUAGAUGUUGGUGUGUAUUUUUCUAGUGAAUUUUGUUGACUUUGAUUUUCUUGAUUUGGUAAAUACUAUCAGUCAAGUGCUAGGACGGUGAGGAAAGAUAAGCCACGUGGGCGUCAUCAUGGUCUCACUCAACAGAAGAGGCAAGAGAUAAAGGAAGCUUUUGAACUGUUUGACACUGAUGGCUCAGGAACUAUUGAUGCUAAGGAGUUGAAUGUUGCUAUGAGGGCUCUGGGUUUUGAGAUGACCGAAGAGGUAUAAAAUCUGUCAUUUUGUUGGUUUUUUGUUGAUUACGAUUGAAAUAUUUCUUCUCUGAAUACUUGCAAAAAGAUAACCUAUGUUCCUUCCACUAUUCUUUUUCUUCUCUGGGUUCUAAGACACUCAGACAAGGGUGUGGCCUCCUUAACUGACACUUCAAUAUUUACCCAGAGUCUCAUAAUACCUCAACGGCUCAACCAUCUCGA